Molecule: long non-coding RNA, 545 nt
Filed under: Physcomitrium patens
Lineage: Eukaryota; Viridiplantae; Streptophyta; Bryopsida; Funariales; Funariaceae
Description: long non-coding RNA (PPAT_LNC010230)
Source: RNAcentral
ACUCUAAUUAGAUUAUAAUAAUGAUAAACAAGCUUCAAUUAAAUUUAAAAAAACCUCAAGAAAUUUCAAACAAAUAAUAAGAAUUCUUAAAGAAAUAUUAGAAGGAUUACAAAUAUCACUCAAAUACAUCUCAAUUCAAUCUUAAUUUAAUUCUAGUUAAAAUCCUAUUGAACUUCAUUCAAAUUUUAGGCCAAAUUUAAUUAAAUCUUAAAUCCUAAUAAAAUUCUAAAUCCUAAAUCAAACCCUAAACAAACCUUAAACCAAACCCCAAUCAAAUCUUAAACCAAAUCCUAAUCAAACCCUAAACCAAAUCUUAACCAAAUCCUAAUCCAAAUCCUAAAUCCUAAACCAAAUCCUAAUCCAAAUUCUAAACCCUAAACAAAAUUCUAACCAAAUUCUAAAUCCUAAAUCAAAUCCUAACCAAACCCUAAACCCUAAAUCAAACUCUAAUUCAAAUCCUAAACCCUAAUCCAAACCCUAGUAAUUCCUACAACAUAUCUAAAUCUUAAUAACUAAUGAAUAAACCGUUGAUCUUAAUCCAAAUU